GAUGAACGCUGGCGGCGUGCCUAAUACAUGCAAGUCGAGCGAACAGAUGAGGAGCUUGCUCCUCUGACGUUAGCGGCGGACGGGUGAGUAACACGUGGAUAACCUACCUAUAAGACUGGGAUAACUUCGGGAAACCGGAGCUAAUACCGGAUAAUAUAUUGAACCGCAUGGUUCAAUAGUGAAAGACGGUUUUGCUGUCACUUAUAGAUGGACCCGCGCCGCAUUAGCUAGUUGGUAAGGUAACGGCUUACCAAGGCGACGAUGCGUAGCCGACCUGAGAGGGUGAUCGGCCACACUGGAACUGAGACACGGUCCAGACUCCUACGGGAGGCAGCAGUAGGGAAUCUUCCGCAAUGGGCGAAAGCCUGACGGAGCAACGCCGCGUGAGUGAUGAAGGUCUUCGGAUCGUAAAACUCUGUUAUUAGGGAAGAACAAAUGUGUAAGUAACUAUGCACGUCUUGACGGUACCUAAUCAGAAAGCCACGGCUAACUACGUG
RNAcentral lists this ribosomal RNA (497 nucleotides) under uncultured bacterium. RNAcentral's name for it is "partial 16S ribosomal RNA". It matches the Rfam family "Bacterial small subunit ribosomal RNA", at positions 28 to 507 of the family's 1533-position model. The record is from RNAcentral.